CCUGCCCCUACUAGUGUUGCAGGUGUGGCUGCUGUGUCACAUGUGCAUCAGUAGGUGGCAGAGAUGAGAGAGGUUACUUCUACACUCAGUGUAGUGUUUUGGUCUAUGAAUAUCUAAAUGAUUAAUAGCCUAACAUU
Rattus norvegicus (Norway rat) is the source of this 137-nucleotide small nucleolar RNA. Ensembl annotates it as small nucleolar RNA SNORA17. NCBI's taxonomy places the organism in Eukaryota, Metazoa, Chordata, Mammalia, Rodentia, Muridae. The record is from Ensembl.